UGUGCGGACGAUGGCUUCUGUCA
RNAcentral lists this non-coding RNA (23 nucleotides) under Cricetulus griseus (Chinese hamster). The record is from RNAcentral. Lineage: Eukaryota; Metazoa; Chordata; Mammalia; Rodentia; Cricetidae.